Molecule: ribosomal RNA, 459 nt
Filed under: uncultured bacterium
Lineage: Bacteria
Description: partial 16S ribosomal RNA
Rfam family: Bacterial small subunit ribosomal RNA
Source: RNAcentral
CCUACGGGAGGCAGCAGUGAGGAAUAUUGGUCAAUGGGCGCGAGCCUGAACCAGCCAAGUCGCGUGAGGGAAGACGGUCCUAUGGAUUGUAAACCUCUUUUGUCGGGGAGCAAAAGACGCCACGCGUGGCGUUCCGAGAGUACCCGAAGAAAAAGCAUCGGCUAACUCCGUGCCAGCAGCCGCGGUAAUACGGAGGAUGCGAGCGUUAUCCGGAUUUAUUGGGUUUAAGGGGUGCGCAGGCGGAAGAUCAAGUCAGAGGGAAAAUUGUGGGGCUCAACCUCUUCGAGCCGUUGAAACUGGUUUUCUUGAGUGAGCGAGAAGUAUGCGGAAUGCGUGGUGUAGCGGUGAAAUGCAUAGAUAUCACGCAGAACUCCGAUUGCGAAGGCAGCAUACCGGCGCUCAACUGACGCUCAUGCACGAAAGUGUGGGUAUCGAACAGGAUUAGAUACCCUUGUAGUC